AACCACCUGAGUUACGUAUGAUUACCUGCUGAACUUAAGCA
RNAcentral lists this ribosomal RNA (41 nucleotides) under Bursaphelenchus sexdentati. RNAcentral describes it as "partial 28S ribosomal RNA". Lineage: Eukaryota; Metazoa; Nematoda; Chromadorea; Rhabditida; Aphelenchoididae. The record is from RNAcentral.